UACGUAGGGGGCAAGCGUUGUCCGGAAUCAUUGGGCGUAAAGCGCGUGUAGGCGGCCAGGUAAGUCCGUUCUGAAAGCCCGGGGCUCAACCCCGGGAGGCGGAUGGAUACUGCUUGGCUCGAGGCCGGAAGAGGCGAGUGGAAUUCCCGGUGUAGCGGUGAAAUGCGCAGAUAUCAGGAGGAACACCUACGGCGAAGGCAGCUCGCUGGGACGGUACUGACGCUGAGACGCGAAAGCGUGGGGAGCAAACAGG
This 253-nucleotide ribosomal RNA is filed under the name uncultured bacterium. RNAcentral describes it as "partial 16S ribosomal RNA". It matches the Rfam family "Bacterial small subunit ribosomal RNA", at positions 524 to 776 of the family's 1533-position model. The record is from RNAcentral.